UUAUCGAAUUAUAAACCCAGGCGAAGGCCGAUCCGAUCGCUGUCGCUGGCCUUUUACUAGGCAUGUGCACGCUUUCCUUGAUAACCUUCGCCUUAUGGGCGCGGGGCGACCCGCGUCUUCAUAUACCUCUUCGUGUAGAAAGUCUUUGAAUGUUUAUACCAUCAUCGACUCGCGACUUCUAGGAGACGCGAUUCUUUGAGACAAAAGUUUAUUACAACUUUCAGCAAUGGAUCUCUUGGCUCUCGCAUCGAUGAAGAACGCAGCGAAUCGCGAUAUGUAAUGUGAAUUGCAGAUCUACAGUGAAUCAUCGAAUCUUUGAACGCACCUUGCGCUCCUCGGUGUUCCGAGGAGCAUGCCUGUUUGAGCGUCAGUAAAUUCUCAACCCCUCUCGAUUUACUUCGAUAGGGUGCUUGGAUAGUGGGGGCUGCCGGAGACCUAGACUUUUUGUCCAGGACUCGGGCUCUCCUGAAAUCAAUCGGCUUGCGGUCGGCUUUCGACUAUGCAUGACAAGGCUUUUGGCGUGAUAAUGAUCGCCGUCUGCUGAAGUGCAUGAAUGAACGUCCCGUGCCUCUAAUCUGUCGAUGCCUUAUGGGCAUCUUCUUUAUUGACUUUUGACCUCAA
RNAcentral lists this ribosomal RNA (621 nucleotides) under Suillus alpinus. Its description in RNAcentral is "eukaryotic LSU rRNA". The stretch from base 216 to 370 matches the Rfam family "5.8S ribosomal RNA". The record is from RNAcentral. Lineage: Eukaryota; Fungi; Basidiomycota; Agaricomycetes; Boletales; Suillaceae.